This 447-nucleotide ribosomal RNA is filed under the name uncultured bacterium. Its description in RNAcentral is "bacterial SSU rRNA". It matches the Rfam family "Bacterial small subunit ribosomal RNA", at positions 355 to 825 of the family's 1533-position model. The record is from RNAcentral.
UCGGGAAUUUUGGGCAAUGGGCGAAAGCCUGACCCAGCAACGCCGCGUGAAGGAUGAAGUAUUUCGGUAUGUAAACUUCGAAAGAAUAGGAAGAAUAAAUGACGGUACUAUUUAUAAGGUCCGGCUAACUACGUGCCAGCAGCCGCGGUAAUACGUAGGGACCAAGCGUUGUUCGGAUUUACUGGGCGUAAAGGGCGCGUAGGCGGCGUGGUAAGUCACUUGUGAAAUCUCCGAGCUUAACUCGGAACGGUCAAGUGAUACUGCUGUGCUAGAGUACAGAAGGGGCAAUCGGAAUUCUUGGUGUAGCGGUGAAAUGCGUAGAUAUCAAGAGGAACACCUGAGGUGAAGACGGGUUGCUGGGCUGAUACUGACGCUGAGGCGCGAAAGCUAGGGUAGCAAACGGGAUUAGAUACCCCCGUAGUCCCUGAGCGGGCUGGCAAGGCGCAU